GAACAACAGCUUGAGAGACAUGCAACAGAUGUAUGAACUGUGGCUGCAGCUUACCAAUCAGAGUAGACGCACAGAUGGCUCUGCUGUGACCCCGCCCCCAGAGGACAAGCAGGUCACCAUAACAGCAGAUUACACAGAAAGCAUGGGUGGCCGGCGGUUGUCAGACGGGGAUGACCUCUGAGUGUCGCCGUGUUGGAUUGCUGCAGACAGAGACAGGCUCACCACACCACCUACAACGCACCAGUCUGUCCUCUUACCAGUCUGACCUCUAGCAUCUAGCCAGCAGUGUGAGAGCAGACAGACACACAGCUGAACAGAUGACCCCCCCCCCACACACAUACAAAUGCAUUCACUCAACACAUGAUACACAAAUCACAGGCACCAAUUAACAUAAAGCUCUGUUAGGGAAAUACAGGGCUUGGCUUUAGUGUUUAGUUUUGCAUCAUGCUGUAGUUACACAGCACUGUUAGGUUCCCCUAUAGCAUAUUACACCACAGAAAUACCACAGACAGCUAGUUUUGCUCUGAUUAAAAUAGUUAGCUAGUAUUCUCUAGUCAGAGCAUCAGCGUCCACCAGGCACCUCUUUUUUUGUUUGUUUAGUUUCCUCACAGCACUGAAACACUCGUGGGUUGGGCGCGCUGGUCGCAGCUCUUAAAUGUUGCUUGGUGUGAAUUCAAAACUCAAUUGAAACUUGGCGCUCUUACACAAAAAGUUGAAAUUUUAAUGUUGGGGUGCCAAAAUUGUGAAGCCAAGCAUUGUCAAGGCUGUAGAAACUGAAAAGAGGUUCCUGGAGGACACUCCACUUUAAGCUGCAUAACAACCAAAUCUUGCUUUUCUUCCUUCAUGGGAAUAUAGCGAAAGGGUCAAUGAUUUUUUGGGAGAUGAAUCACUUUGAAUAAUUUUGUCUUUCCAAGAGGAGUUGUGCUUCCUUGUUAUAUUGUCUGCCAUAUUGGUGGAAUGCUAUGAAUGUAAUGCCUGCAUGGGCCUUUAAAAUGAGAAAAUUUAAAAUGUUCCUGUGGUCGUGGAAUGUAUGUAAUAAUGCUUACCUGCCCAAAAAACAAACUUGUGUAACAUUAUGUUUUUCCCCUAUUAUAGAUUUUUUUUUUUAAACAACUUCAUGAGUUAUAUAAUCUAAUCAUACCAGGUGUUCUUGCAUGGGGCGAACACAGAUGUACACACAUUGAAAUAUUAACACAUUGUUGCUGCCAGUCAAUGUCCAUUUGAAUCGAAGGAACUGCAUUUGAAAAAAGAGGGUUGAUUUGGUAAAAGAAAAUGAAAUAAAAUGUAAAAAUCUCAGCAUAAUAUCUGGGACUAAAGUACACACGACUAAUGAAUUGAAGUACUUAUCGCCAAAGUAAGAUGUGAAGCUGUUGUGAGAGGCUACAGAGAGGCAGCAGCACACAGAGUCAUGGCUAGAGCUGCUCCCAGCAGCAGGUCAGCUCAGACCGCACAUGUCCAUGAGGAAAUGAGGACCCCACUUAGACUGGAGCACAGUGAAAUUACUGGCAGUGCAGGAGACUUAAGUUAUGAAUUAAAGAUGAGGUUUGUAAUAAUGUUCAGACAAAUUAUAAUUUAAAGACUAAAAAGCUGAGAGAAAAUUAAGGAAAAGAUAAAAGAAGAUAAUUAAAAAAAAUAUAUUUAUAGUUGUUAGAAUAUUUGAGAUGAUUUGAAUGUAAAGCCACUUCUUCAGUGGAACUGGGGUCAUUGUUUCCAGUCACUCACAGCCUUCAGGUGGGGGCCUGUGUUUUUCAGAUCCAUUCCUGAUAGCUAAGGGUAGCUGAUAAAAUAAACCUUUUCAUCGCGGCACACCUGCUAGCUUGAGACAGGGAAAUGAUUCACACCACAUAUUGUGCCUAUAAACAACACAUCUACAUGUGACACAAACACACACACACAGGCAGGAUAUCUGUUGCUAUCUUAGUCUAGCCUUUAAUGUGGACGGAGACGAGACAGAGGUAUGUCUAUAUACAUACAUAUUAUACAUAUUUACACGUAAUGGUACACUACUAAUAAUUGAUAACUUAGUGGUUAAGGUUAAUAAAUAUAUAAACUGAACACGUAUUGAUUACAUAGAAGAACUUCUUGUUAUUGAGGUAUUGCUAUAUGACGUAUUGCUGAACUAGACGAGUAUAGUGUUUGUUUGUUUGUUUAUGAUUUUUAUUUUGUAAUUUUUCCUUCUGUGUGGGUUGUUCCAGACUGGGUUGGCUUGAAGGGACUGCAGCAGAGACUGAUUUGAGUUUCAUAUUCAGUGUGUAGAAAUGAUUUACCGAGGGUUAAAUCUUCACAUCAAAAAACAAGCAAGUAUUUUUGUAAAUUUUUUUUUUUUGUUUGUUUGUUUAUCUGGAGCGACCUCAGCUCAGCGCAAAAUAGGUUACAGGUUACACUCGAGCAGUACUGAGGUAGUCAGUGGGUGCAAAACAUUCAAACUAAAUGGAACAAGGAGAGAGUUUACAUAUAGAUGAGGUCAGAGCAGAGAAAAGUCUGUAUUUGUUUAGUGAUGUUCCAGCUCUGUCUGCUGUCCCUCCUUUAAGCCCAGUGGAUGCAUCGAAAAUAGAGAAAUGGUUGUGACACCAAGGGCUGCAGCGUCUUUAAUUAUCCCCCUCCUGAAAACUGACCGAAUUCAGACAGCUUGAGCUGAGCCUGAAAUACAGAUCUCAGAUCAGUUUUGCUGAUCACUCAGCUGUGGUUUUGGGGAUCGUGGAUAAUGAGCCUUUGUCUAGAGCAGCCCAGGUAUUAACUUCUUUGAGGGAUCGUAUUGCUACUUCUCUAGUAUUAUGAAUAUAAUGACUAUAAUGAUAUGCUAUCUAUUGACUAUUUCUAUUUCUCUUCUAAAUGCUAUUGAUAUAUGUAUGUUAAUUGCAAUGUAUAACUUUCUCUUUAUAUAUGUAUCCAUGUAUGAAUAUAAUGAUUUACAGUAAAUAUGCGUCUGUGUAUGCCAGAGGGCUGUCUGAGCUCUGUCUGGGAGGCACUGAGCAGAAACUCUGCAGCUUCUGAUCGUUACUGUAAGGGUCUUAAGUUGUUGACCUACAGGUGUUGAUGCCAGCUGCCACCAGCUGUAGUUGUCAGUAGCACAAGGUACUUUAGACAAUGUUUUCUGAGCUCUGACUGUAGGCUUUAGGAUAGUGUAGGAACUGGCCAGAGUAAAAAAAAAAAAAAAAAAGUAUAGUUGAUGAUUAAAGUAUAACUUGUCUUCGUGUGUGUGUUGAUCUAGAGUCAGAGCUCAUUGCCUGCGCUGUUUGUGUUAGUUUGAAGUGAUUCACCAGACAGAAGGACAGCUCUGGAAACAAAGGCAUACAUAGAGGCAUAUGUACUCCUGUAUACCGCCUUAUUCAAUAUACUACACCUAUAAGGUGAUACAUACUCCUAUUGUAUAAUCCUGCUUACGAUAUAGAGUAUAUGAUACCUGAUACCUAUUAUAAUACUUAGACACCCUUUAUAAGGUAAUUUAGAUAAGAGAUGGUGGAGCUAUUCUUUUUUUCUUGUGGCUGUGGGACCGUGUGCCGUGGUCAAUCGUUUCCAGUUUGUCAAGAAGUAAAGAAGUAGUUGUUAGGAGAGUGCCGCAUGCUCAUAUGCUCUUUACCAUUCAUAUUCUGUUAGUUCAGGAUAUUUGCCAAGCAGCCAAAGGUUGGUAGGUCUUAAUUUUGGCUGGAAAAGCUGUGAAACAAAGACAAUUUGGAAUUCAAUGUACAAAUUUGGCCACAUUAUAUGUAUCAGUGUGACCAGUGAAGAAGAAGUUGUCCUUGUUUGAGUCCUAUCUUUAAAGAUCAGGUUUUAGCGAAAACAAAAAGCAGAGCAUUUGACAGGAGGAGGCUCCUU
Monopterus albus (swamp eel) is the source of this 3816-nucleotide long non-coding RNA. RefSeq lists it as uncharacterized. The record is from RefSeq and is a predicted model, not a curated record. The transcript is spliced from 3 exons. NCBI's taxonomy places the organism in Eukaryota, Metazoa, Chordata, Actinopteri, Synbranchiformes, Synbranchidae.